This 355-nucleotide long non-coding RNA is filed under the name Monodelphis domestica (gray short-tailed opossum). Its description in RNAcentral is "lncRNA (ENSMODG00000036292.2)". The record is from RNAcentral. Lineage: Eukaryota; Metazoa; Chordata; Mammalia; Didelphimorphia; Didelphidae.
UCUGACUCCCCUGAGCCAUCUAGAUCCAGAGGGACAAGUUCUGAUUCUCUUUUUUGUUCAGCAAUGUUCCCAAAGGAUAUUUAUGAAGUAACUAAGGGAGAAACAAAUAUAAGAAAAACAGAAAAGCAUGGGAAUAACUGGAGAUGAAGAAACAAUUAUGGAAAGGUCAACAAUUUUCCAGAUGUGGAUUGAAGACCCUAUAACAUCUCUGACACUCUUUAAAGAGGAACACAAUGUGAGAUGGAAGAAAAGGAUUCCAGUAGAAGCAUGGAAAAACUUAAUGAACUGAUGGAAAGUGAAAUGAGAAGAAACAGAAAAACACCAUAUACAAACUCUACAACAAUGUAAAUGGAAA